GCCCUCGUAGCUCAGCGGAUAGAGCACUUGGUUGCGGACCAAGGGGCCGCGUGUUCGAGUCACGCCGAGGGCG
Molecule: transfer RNA, 73 nt
Filed under: Chloroflexota bacterium
Lineage: Bacteria; Bacillati; Chloroflexota
Also listed under: 2 other names
Description: Chloroflexi bacterium (sediment metagenome) tRNA-Arg
Rfam family: tRNA
About the family: Transfer RNA (tRNA) molecules are approximately 80 nucleotides in length.
Source: RNAcentral